UACGGGGGGAGCAAGCGUUGUUCGGAAUUACUGGGCGUAAAGGGCUCGUAGGUGGCCAACUAAGUCAGACGUGAAAUCCCUCGGCUUAACCGGGGAACUGCGUCUAAUACUGGAUGGCUUGAGAUUGGGAGAGGGAUGCGGAAUUCCAGGUGUAGCGGUGAAAUGCGUAGAUAUCUGGAGGAACACCGGUGGCGAAGGCGGCAUCCUGGACCAACACUGACACUGAGGAGCGAAAGCCAGGGGAGCAAACGGG
RNAcentral lists this ribosomal RNA (253 nucleotides) under uncultured bacterium. RNAcentral describes it as "partial 16S ribosomal RNA". It matches the Rfam family "Bacterial small subunit ribosomal RNA", at positions 524 to 776 of the family's 1533-position model. The record is from RNAcentral.